This 321-nucleotide ribosomal RNA is filed under the name uncultured eukaryote. Its description in RNAcentral is "partial 18S ribosomal RNA". It matches the Rfam family "Eukaryotic small subunit ribosomal RNA", at positions 1470 to 1796 of the family's 1831-position model. The record is from RNAcentral.
CCCUUAGAUGUUCUGGGCCGCACGCGUGCUACACUGAGUGGAUCAGCGGGUCAGGUUGCGCGAAAGUGUUUCCUAAUCUUUAAAUCCGCUCGUGAUGGGGAUUGACGGUUGCAAUUUUCCGUCAUGAACGAGGAAUACCUUGUAAGCGCGGGUCAUCAUCCCGCGCUGAAUACGUCCCUGCCCUUUGUACACACCGCCCGUCGCUACUACCGAUUGAACGUUUUAGUGAGGCAUUUGGACCGACGCAUCUCAGUUUAACCGCUGGUUUGUGUUGGAAAGACUUCCAAACUUGAGCGUUUAGAGGAAGUAAAAGUCGUAACA